AUUUAUAUAGUUUAAAAAAAACAUUAUAUUUUCAAUAUAAAAAUAAUUAAAUUUAAUUUAUAAAUA
This is a non-coding RNA of Apis mellifera (honey bee), 66 nucleotides long. The record is from the annotation of a RefSeq genome assembly. NCBI's taxonomy places the organism in Eukaryota, Metazoa, Arthropoda, Insecta, Hymenoptera, Apidae.